AUUGAACGCUGGCGGCAUGCUUUACACAUGCAAGUCGAACGGUAACAGGUUAAGCUGACGAGUGGCGAACGGGUGAGUAAUGCAUCGGAACGUGCCCGGUCGUGGGGGAUAACGCAGCGAAAGCUGCGCUAAUACCGCAUACGAUCUGAGGAUGAAAGCGGGGGACCGUAAGGCCUCGCGCGAUCGGAGCGGCCGAUGUCAGAUUAGGUAGUUGGUGGGGUAAAGGCUCACCAAGGCAACGAUCGAGUAGGCUGGUCUGAGAGGACGAUCAGCCACACUGGGACUGAGACACGGCCCAGACUCCUACGGGAGGCAGCAGUGGGGAAUUUUGGACAAUGGGGGGCAACCCUGAUCCAGCAAUGCCGCGUGAGUGAAGAAGGCCUC
Molecule: ribosomal RNA, 384 nt
Filed under: uncultured bacterium
Lineage: Bacteria
Description: bacterial SSU rRNA
Rfam family: Bacterial small subunit ribosomal RNA
Source: RNAcentral